AGAGCAGCAGCUCUGGCGCUAGAGGGAACCUGGGCUGCUCUAGCUGGGGGAGAGCCGGGUCUCUGGUUCUAAUCACUUGAAUCUGACUUCUGGGAAAACUGGCGUCCAGGGACUCCCCCCGGAGACCCAUAAUCUUCUUGGGGCGACCUCAGGACUUCUGUAGACAAGACAGAUACUGUAAAGACAGCAAAGAACAAACAGAAUGGCAGAUUGCUAAUGUUUGAUCCAAACGAAAAAGUGAUGAUUGAAUCAAACGAAGCAAUGUCAGAUAAAUGCCUCUUUGGACGCAGACCAAGAUUGACAAGCAAACUUAAUACCUCACCAACACAGGUCUCUGUAAAUGUAGCUAAAACAUUCUCAGAAAAGUAAGUUUUAAUUAAUUUUGUUUUUA
Molecule: long non-coding RNA, 391 nt
Filed under: Homo sapiens (human)
Lineage: Eukaryota; Metazoa; Chordata; Mammalia; Primates; Hominidae
Description: non-protein coding lnc-ERICH2-1:4
Source: RNAcentral